RNAcentral lists this ribosomal RNA (461 nucleotides) under uncultured bacterium. RNAcentral's name for it is "partial 16S ribosomal RNA". It matches the Rfam family "Bacterial small subunit ribosomal RNA", at positions 338 to 795 of the family's 1533-position model. The record is from RNAcentral.
CCUACGUGGGGCAGCAGUGAGGAAUAUUGGUCAAUGGGCGCGAGCCUGAACCAGCCAAGUCGCGUGAGGGAGGACGGCCCUACGGGUUGUCAACCUCUUUUGCCUGGGAGCAACGGGCGUCACGUGUGGCGCCACUGAGAGUACCCGGAGAAAAAGCAUCGGCUAACUCCGUUCCAGCAGCCGCGGUAAUACGGAGGAUGCGAGCGUUAUCCGGAUUUAUUGGGUUUAAAGGGAGCGUAGAUGGGUUGUUAAGUCAGUUGUGAAAGUUUGCGGAUCAACCGUAAAAUUGCAAUUGAUACUGGCAGUCUUGAGUACAGUUGAGGUAGGCGGAAUUCGUGGUGUAGCGGUGAAAUGCUUAGAUAUCACGCAGAACCCCGAUUGCGAAGGCAGCUUACUAAACUGUGACUGACAUUGAUGCUCGAAAGUGUGGGUAUCAAACAGGAUUAGAUACCCGAGUAGUC